GUGGUAAUGCCGGAUGCUCCAGUUGAUCGCAUGGUCUUCUGGGAAAGCUUUCGCGGUAUGGGAUGGGGUCGCGUCCUAUCAGCUUGACGGCGGGGUAACGGCCCACCGUGGCUUCGACGGGUAGCCGGCCUGAGAGGGCGACCGGCCACAUUGGGACUGAGAUACGGCCCAGACUCCUACGGGAGGCAGCAGUGGGGAAUAUUGCACAAUGGGCGCAAGCCUGAUGCAGCGACGCCGCGUGAGGGAUGGAGGCCUUCGGGUUGUAAACCUCUUUUAUCGGGGAGCAAGCGAGAGUGAGUUUACCCGUUGAAUAAGCACCGGCUAACUACGUGCCAGCAGCCGCGGUAAUACGUAGGGUGCAAGCGUUAUCCGGAAUUAUUGGGCGUAAAGGGCUCGUAGGCGGUUCGUCGCGUCCGGUGUGAAAGUCCAUCGCUUAACGGUGGAUCCGCGCCGGGUACGGGCGGGCUUGAGUGCGGUAGGGGAGACUGGA
RNAcentral lists this ribosomal RNA (490 nucleotides) under Bifidobacterium longum subsp. suillum. RNAcentral's name for it is "bacterial SSU rRNA". It matches the Rfam family "Bacterial small subunit ribosomal RNA", at positions 160 to 665 of the family's 1533-position model. The record is from RNAcentral. Lineage: Bacteria; Bacillati; Actinomycetota; Actinomycetes; Bifidobacteriales; Bifidobacteriaceae.